UCAGGAACGAACGCUGGCGGCGCGUUUAAGCAUGCAAGUCGAGCGGCAAGGGCCUUCGGGCCCCUAGAGCGGCGGACGGGUGAGUAACACGUGGACAAUCCUGCCCCCCGGCCCGGGAUAGCCCAGGGAAACCUGGAUUAAUACCGGAUGAGACGGGACCCGCGAUGGCGGGACCCGGAAAGGCGCUGCGGCGCCGCCGGGGGAUGAGUCUGCGUCCCAUUAGCUAGACGGCGGGGUAACGGCCCACCGUGGCGACGAUGGGUAGCCGGCCUGAGAGGGUGGACGGCCACAUUGGAACUGAGACACGGUCCAGACUCCUACGGGAGGCAGCAGCUAAGAAUCUUCCGCAAUGGGCGAAAGCCUGACGGAGCGACGCCCGCGUGAACGAAGAAGGCCGUGAGGUUGUAAAGUUCUUUUCGGGAGGGGGAACAACCGUGGCAGGGAAUGGCCGCGGGAUGACGUGAAUCCCGGAAUAAGCCCCGGCUAACUACGUGCCAGCCGCAGC
This 505-nucleotide ribosomal RNA is filed under the name uncultured bacterium. RNAcentral describes it as "bacterial SSU rRNA". It matches the Rfam family "Bacterial small subunit ribosomal RNA", at positions 27 to 518 of the family's 1533-position model. The record is from RNAcentral.